This 443-nucleotide ribosomal RNA is filed under the name uncultured Acidovorax sp. RNAcentral describes it as "bacterial SSU rRNA". It matches the Rfam family "Bacterial small subunit ribosomal RNA", at positions 939 to 1382 of the family's 1533-position model. The record is from RNAcentral. Lineage: Bacteria; Pseudomonadati; Pseudomonadota; Betaproteobacteria; Burkholderiales; Comamonadaceae.
AUGUGGUUUAAUUCGAUGACAACGCGAAAACCUUACCACCUUUGACAUGUACGGAAUCCUUAGAGAUAGAGGAGUGCUCGAAAGAGAACCGUAACACAGGUGCUGCAUGGCUGUCGUCAGCUCGUGUCGUGAGAUGUUGGGUUAAGUCCCGCAACGAGCGCAACCCUUGUCAUUAGUUGCUACAUUCAGUUGGGGCACUCUAAUGAGACUGCCGGUGACAAACCGGAGGAAGGUGGGGAUGACGUCAAGUCCUCAUGGCCCUUAUAGGUGGGGCUACACACGUCAUACAAUGGAUGGUACAAAGGGUCGCCAACCCGCGAGGGGGGAGCCAAUCCCAUAAAGCCAUUCGUAGUCCGGAUCGCAGUCUGCAACUCGACUGCGUGAAGUCGGAAUCGCUAGUAAUCGUGGAUCAGAAUGUCACGGUGAAUACGUUCCCGGGUCUU